UACAGAGGGUGCGAGCGUUGUCCGGAAUCACUGGGCGUAAAGGGCGCGUAGGUGGCGGCCCAAGUCCAUGGUGAAAGCUCGAUGCUCAACAUCGAGUCGGCCACGGAUACUGGGUUGCUCGAGCACUGUAGGGGCAGAUGGAAUUCCGCGUGUAGCAGUGAAAUGCGUAGAUAUGCGGAGGAACACCGAUGGCGAAGGCAAUCCCCUGGGCCUGCACUGACGCUCCAUGCACGAAGGCGUGGGGAGCAAACAGG
Molecule: ribosomal RNA, 254 nt
Filed under: uncultured bacterium
Lineage: Bacteria
Description: partial 16S ribosomal RNA
Rfam family: Bacterial small subunit ribosomal RNA
Source: RNAcentral